This is a long non-coding RNA of Folsomia candida, 1364 nucleotides long. RefSeq lists it as uncharacterized. The record is from RefSeq and is a predicted model, not a curated record. Lineage: Eukaryota; Metazoa; Arthropoda; Collembola; Entomobryomorpha; Isotomidae. The transcript has 2 exons.
UCGAGUUCGCAUGUUCGCAUCGCAACAGAACUUUUUUGAAAUUUUGCGAAGCAACGAAGUGAAACGCAAAUUACAGUUCGUAAAAUUGCAUGUACAAAAUUUCAAAACGUAAAACUUCCGUACCUAAUGACGAGAUUUAAAGAGUUUUAAAGAGUAAUUUGCGAACUAAAUACUAGCCUUGGAAAUGCACAAUUUCCAAGCCAAAAUUUUUUGCGAACUUUAUUUUUUUGCGUUGCUCACUAUGCGAACUCGAAAUGAAUACCCUCAGAGAUACAGUAUAAAAUUUAAGGAUUUGCUAACACUCAUAAAAUUAGAAUAAGUGGGAACAUAACCUUUACACAUACAUUUAGGCUUAUUCCUGUUUGCACGAUUUUGGAGGAUUUACUUUCACGCAAUGUCGACCUGCAUAUUAAAGCGCACUAUUUGGUUUUCGGUAAGAGGGAACUGUGACAACUGGCGGAUCAAGAUAUUUUGACAGGAUGUCGCACAAAAUGCAAUUGCUGCGAAACACCCAGAAUUUCAACUUGAAAGAAACGACGCGAAUCCCGCCCUGAAUUAUCUGGAGGUCAAUUACAUCUCCCCCGAAGGAGUGAGAAUUCAUCCCAAUGUCGUGGCCAUUAACAAAUCAAUUCAACCAACGGAUAGUAAGUCGCAACUUAAAAAGUUCAAGAUUUUGAUUAGUAGGUUUGUGAAGGAAGAUUGGGCGUACUCACGACAAAUUCUGAUUUCGCAUUGCAACUCAUCUAGCAAACUUGUGAAAAUCAAAAUAUUUCGUUCGUGAGGGGAUUCGCAAAAUAUGACUUUGCAAAUCUCGCCAAUCUACUAAAAACACAUAUUCCCCAAGAAAAUUUAUGGCUGGUAAAAUAAUUCUUACCAGUUAUUAAUAAUUUCAACACCUGUUCGUUCCGACGGUAGAAAAGUAUUACCAGUGCGUAGAAAAUUAUAAGCAACUAAUCGUUUAAAAAUUGCUUUCAAUGUUAACAGUAAGUUAACACAGUUUGGUAAUUAUGAACGUAUUCAAGUCAACCUUCGCAUAACUUGCAAAUUGAGCAUAGCAACAUAACUUGCCAAGUUUUGCGAGAUUUCGCAAAAAAUUUUGCUGGAAACCAUACGAUUUUUUUCGCAAAUUUACCAAGCAAAUGGACAUGUUCUUAUUUCGCAAGCUUACAUGUUUCACAAACGCAUCGUCGCCAUCUCCAGCAAGAGAAAUUACAGAAAUCCACGGUGUUCCCAUCUUGCACUAAUCCUAAAUAUUACACGCCUAGGGCUGCCAAAUCCGGAUACUUCUAAUUCGAAAAAUCCGGAUUUUUAGGAUUUCGAAUUAUCCGAAAUCGGGAAUGAAUUUUGGAAUGAAUCCGGAUUUC